AGGGCUGCAGUAUAUUGACUGUACAAAGGUAGCAUAAUCAUUAGUCAUUUAAUUGAUGACUUGUAUGAAGGAUUUGAUGAGAUAUAAACUGUCUCUUAUUUAAUUAUAAAAUUUAAUUUUUUUAUUAAAAAGUUAAAAUAUCUUAAAAAGACGAGAAGACCCUAUAGAGUUUAAUAAAUUAUUAUAUUGAGAUUAUAUGUAAAACAAAUUUAAAAUAAAAUUAUUUAUUUUGUUGGGGUGACAAAAAAAUACAUUAAACUUUUUUUUUUAUUUUAAAACAUUUAUAAGUGAUUAAAUGAUCCAAUAAUAUUGAUUAUGAGAAAAAAUUACCUUAGGGAUAACAGCGUAAUUUUUUUUUUUAGUUCAAAUAAGAAAAAGAGUUUGCGACCUCGAUGUUGGAUUAAGAUAAAAUUUAAA
RNAcentral lists this ribosomal RNA (417 nucleotides) under Acrapex albivena. Its description in RNAcentral is "partial 16S ribosomal RNA". The record is from RNAcentral. Lineage: Eukaryota; Metazoa; Arthropoda; Insecta; Lepidoptera; Noctuidae.